RNAcentral lists this ribosomal RNA (370 nucleotides) under uncultured bacterium. RNAcentral describes it as "bacterial SSU rRNA". It matches the Rfam family "Bacterial small subunit ribosomal RNA", at positions 917 to 1289 of the family's 1533-position model. The record is from RNAcentral.
GGGCCCGCACAAGCGGUGGAGCAUGUGGUUUAAUUCGAUGAUACGCGAGGAACCUUACCAGGGCUUAAAUGUUAGGUGACAGAUCUAGAAAUAGAUUUUUCUUCGGACACUUAACAAGGUGCUGCAUGGUUGUCGUCAGCUCGUGCCGUGAGGUGUCAGGUUAAGUCCUAUAACGAGCGCAACCCCCUGUUGUUAGUUGCCAGCGAGUAAUGUCGGGAACUCUAGCAAGACUGCCAGUGCAAACUGUGAGGAAGGUGGGGAUGACGUCAAAUCAUCACGGCCCUUACGUCCUGGGCUACACACGUACUACAAUGCUACGGACAAAGGGCAGCAAACUCGCGAGAGCUAGCAAAUCCCAUAAACGUGGCUC